GGGGACGUGGUGUACGGCGCACCGCUGCAUUGGAUAGUUCCGUCGAAACUUGCAUGAUGCAGCAGGCCGGGGUUCGACCCCCCGCGUCCCCA
Mycena latifolia is the source of this 92-nucleotide non-coding RNA. Lineage: Eukaryota; Fungi; Basidiomycota; Agaricomycetes; Agaricales; Mycenaceae. The record is from the annotation of a GenBank genome assembly.